GCGGGUAUGAUGUAAUGGUAGCCUCUCAGCUUCCCAAGCUGAACGCGCGGGUUCGAUUCCCGCUACCCGCU
RNAcentral lists this transfer RNA (71 nucleotides) under Brucella suis bv. 2. RNAcentral describes it as "tRNA-Gly". It matches the Rfam family "tRNA". Rfam says of the family: Transfer RNA (tRNA) molecules are approximately 80 nucleotides in length. Their secondary structure includes four short double-helical elements and three loops (D, anti-codon, and T loops). Lineage: Bacteria; Pseudomonadati; Pseudomonadota; Alphaproteobacteria; Hyphomicrobiales; Brucellaceae. The record is from RNAcentral.